UGGGGAAUAUUGGACAAUGGGCGCAAGCCUGAUCCAGCAAUGCCGCGUGAGUGAUGAAGGCCUUCGGGUUGUAAAGCUCUUUCGCCCGCGACGAUGAUGACGGUAGCGGGAGAAGAAGCCCCGGCUAACUUCGUGCCAGCAGCCGCGGUAAUACGAAGGGGGCGAGCGUUGUUCGGAAUUACUGGGCGUAAAGGGCGCGUAGGCGGCCCGUCAAGUCGCGUGUGAAAGCCCCGGGCUCAACCUGGGAGGUGCGCGCGAGACUGGCGGGCUGGAGUUCGGGAGAGGAGCGUGGAAUUCCCAGUGUAGAGGUGAAAUUCGUAGAUAUUGGGAAGAACACCGGUGGCGAAGGCGGCGCUCUGGACCGAGACUGACGCUGAGGCGCGAAGGCGUGGGGAGCAAACAG
RNAcentral lists this ribosomal RNA (403 nucleotides) under uncultured bacterium. RNAcentral's name for it is "bacterial SSU rRNA". It matches the Rfam family "Bacterial small subunit ribosomal RNA", at positions 355 to 775 of the family's 1533-position model. The record is from RNAcentral.